ACACCGGCGGCCCGAGUGGUGAUCGUGAUUAUUGGGUCUAAAGGGUCCGUAGCCGGUUUGGUCAGUCCUCCGGGAAAUCUGAUGGCUCAACCAUUAGGCUUUCGGGGGAUCCUGCCAGGCUUGGAACCGGAAGAGGUAAGAGGUACUACAGGGGUAGGAGUGAAAUCUUGUAAUCCCUGUGAGACCACCUGUGGCGAAGGCGUCUUACCAGAACGGGUUCGACGGUGAGGGACGAAAGCUGGGGGCACGAACCGGAUUAGAUACCCGGGUAGUCCCAGCCGUAAACGAUGCGCGCUAGGUGUCAAGCAUGGCGCGACCGUGUCUGGUGCCGCAGGGAAGCCGUGAAGCGAGCCACCUGGGAAGUACGGCCGCAAGGCUGAA
This 381-nucleotide ribosomal RNA is filed under the name uncultured archaeon. RNAcentral's name for it is "bacterial SSU rRNA". It matches the Rfam family "Archaeal small subunit ribosomal RNA", at positions 473 to 853 of the family's 1478-position model. The record is from RNAcentral.